Molecule: ribosomal RNA, 1295 nt
Filed under: Quasilineus sinicus
Lineage: Eukaryota; Metazoa; Nemertea; Pilidiophora; Heteronemertea; Lineidae
Description: 16S ribosomal RNA
Rfam family: Archaeal large subunit ribosomal RNA (bases 597-1295)
Source: RNAcentral
GUUGUGUUGGUUAAGUAGUUGAAGGGAUAUCUUUUGUUUUGCAAAAAUCAUAUUUUUUGAUAGUAUUGGUGAAAGAAUUCAAAAUAAUUUGCAGGUUAGAAAGUACUGUAAAGGAAAAAAGAAAUAUGUGAAAAGAAGUUUUUCUUACUUUUUGUAUCAUGGGUUAGUGAGAAAAAUUUUGUUAUUAUGUGAUUUCUCGAAUUCUUGUGAGUUAUCUUGUUUAUGUUUAGAACUAAUAUUGUGGUGUUGCAUAAUCACAAAUAUAAAAUAAGAUAGAAGUAAAAUGCUUUGCGAACAAGAAAAUAGCUAGUUUCUGCUUUUGUAUUUAUAAGAAGGGUUGCUUAAGAAAAUAAGCGCAUAAAAGCUUUGUUUUUUGGGGAUAAGCUCAAAAAAAUGAUGAAAUUUUAUUUUGUAAGAGUAAGGUAUGGGCAUAAAAGCUGCCAUUUUUAAUGAAUUCGUCUUAGAUCGCUCUUGUUUUUCUAAAAUUCUUUGUUUUUUGGCAGAUUUGUUUUGAAUAAGAAAAAAUUUAAAAUAAUGCUAAUAUUAGUACUGAUGAGGUUACAGAAUGAAAAUGUAAGUGGCUUUUAUGUGUUGCUUGCUGUAUUUGGGCGAAAAUUGUACAAGGAAGAAAGGAACUCGGCAAAUAGUAAGUCCGUCUGUUUAUCAAAAACAUAGCCUGUUGUGGUUUAAUAACAGGUAGUUUCUGCCCAGUGCUUUGUAGGUAAAUGGCCGCGGUACUCUGACCGUGCAAAGGUAGCAUAAUCAUUUGCUCUUUUAUUGGGGGCUGGAAUGAAUGGAAUGACGUGACUUGAGCUGUCUCUUUUUCUUAGUUGGAAUUUGCUGUUUUUGUGAAGAAGCAAAAAUGUAAAAAAAAGACAAGAAGACCCUAUUAAGCUUUACUUGUGCCUGUCAUACGUUAACUUUGUUUUUAGCAUUAGCUUAUGUUGGCUGAGUUUGGUUGGGGUGACCAAAGAAGAUAAAAUCUUCUUUUUUUUAAGAAACUAUGUGUUUGUUAGUGAGCCAGAAAAUUCUGAAAAAAAGAAUAAGUUACUAUAGGGAUAACAGCGUAAUUUUUUCAAAGAGUUCUUAUCGAAGAAAAAGAUUGCGACCUCGAUGUUGACUUGUUGUUUCCGUUGUGUUAGGUGUAGAAGCUGAAAAGGUUGGUCUGUUCGACCAUUAAAACAAUACGUGAGUUGAGUUCAGACCGGCGUGAGCCAGGUUGGUUUCUAUCUUUUUAUGCUAAGCAAGGCAUUUGUUAGUACGAAAGGACCGCAAAACCGCAUGUGUAUGUUUAU